Molecule: microRNA precursor, 96 nt
Filed under: Prunus dulcis (almond)
Lineage: Eukaryota; Viridiplantae; Streptophyta; Magnoliopsida; Rosales; Rosaceae
Description: sRNA ncRNA
Rfam family: mir-4716 microRNA precursor family (bases 7-90)
Source: RNAcentral
CUCUCUCUCUCUCUCUCUCUCUCUCUCUCUCUCUCUCUCAUAUAUAUAUAUAUAUAAGAGAGAGAGAGAGAGAGAGAGAGAGAGAGAGAGAGAGAG